CCUACGGGGGGCUGCAGUGAGGAAUAUUGGUCAAUGGUCGUGAGACUGAACCAGCCAAGCCGCGUGAGGGAGGAAGGUACAGAGUAUCGUAAACCUCUUUUGUCAGGGAACAAAGGCGUGGACGUGUCGCUGGAUGAGUGUACCUGAAGAAAAAGCAUCGGCUAAGUCCGUGCCAGCAGCCGCGGUAAUACGGAGGGUGCGAGCGUUAUCCGGAUUUAUUGGGUUUAAAGGGUGCGCAGGCGGUCUUUUAAGUCAGCGGUAAAAGUCUGGGGCUCAACCCGGGCGCGCCGUUGAAACUGGGAGCCUUGAGUUGGAGAGAGGUAGGCGGAAUGCGAGGUGUAGCGGUGAAAUGCAUAGAUAUCGCGAAGAACUCCGAUUGCGAAGGCAGCAUGCCGGCUCCACACUGACGCUGAGGCACGAAAGCGUGGGUAUCGAACAGGAUUAGAUACCCUAGUAGUC
Molecule: ribosomal RNA, 459 nt
Filed under: uncultured bacterium
Lineage: Bacteria
Description: partial 16S ribosomal RNA
Rfam family: Bacterial small subunit ribosomal RNA
Source: RNAcentral